RNAcentral lists this ribosomal RNA (498 nucleotides) under uncultured bacterium. RNAcentral's name for it is "partial 16S ribosomal RNA". It matches the Rfam family "Bacterial small subunit ribosomal RNA", at positions 28 to 508 of the family's 1533-position model. The record is from RNAcentral.
GAUGAACGCUGGCGGCGUGCCUAAUACAUGCAAGUCGAGCGAACAGACGAGGAGCUUGCUCCUCUGACGUUAGCGGCGGACGGGUGAGUAACACGUGGAUAACCUACCUAUAAGACUGGGAUAACUUCGGGAAACCGGAGCUAAUACCGGAUAAUAUAUUGAACCGCAUGGUUCAAUAGUGAAAGACGGUUUUGCUGUCACUUAUAGAUGGAUCCGCGCCGCAUUAGCUAGUUGGUAAGGUAACGGCUUACCAAGGCAACGAUGCGUAGCCGACCUGAGAGGGGGAUCGGCCAAACUGGAACUGAGACACGGUCCAGACUCCUACGGGAGGCAGCAGGAGGGAAUCUUCCGCAAUGGGCGAAAGCCUGACGGAGCAACGCCGCGUGAGUGAUGAAGGUCUUCGGAUCGUAAAACUCUGUUAUUAGGGAAGAACAAAUGUGUAAGUAACUAUGCACGUCUUGACGGUACCUAAUCAGAAAGCCACGGCUAACUACGUGC